RNAcentral lists this signal recognition particle RNA (266 nucleotides) under Pediculus humanus corporis (human body louse). RNAcentral's name for it is "metazoan signal recognition particle RNA". It matches the Rfam family "Metazoan signal recognition particle RNA". From Rfam's summary of the family: The signal recognition particle (SRP) is a universally conserved ribonucleoprotein. It is involved in the co-translational targeting of proteins to membranes. The eukaryotic SRP consists of a 300-nucleotide 7S RNA and six proteins: SRPs 72, 68, 54, 19, 14, and 9. Lineage: Eukaryota; Metazoa; Arthropoda; Insecta; Psocodea; Pediculidae. The record is from Rfam by way of RNAcentral.
GCUUUUUUUUGUAAUCCAAACACUCGGAGGCUAGGUAUAGAGGAUAUUUUAAGGGCGGGAGUUCUGGGAUUGGUUCUCACGUUGACUAGGCGUCCUCUAAGAGUUCACCUUCAGCUCGGAUGUCGUGGAGGAGCCCAAGGUAGCCAGGUUGAUCCAAAAGGGGAAAAAAAUCAGCUCAAAAGUUACCGAGUUGAACGUCGUGGGUUUAAAUCUUGGGAGUGGGAGUUGAAUUUCAGCUUGUUUAGCAGAAACAGAUUUGUACUUUC